This is a long non-coding RNA of Gossypium raimondii (Peruvian cotton), 1275 nucleotides long. RefSeq lists it as uncharacterized. NCBI's taxonomy places the organism in Eukaryota, Viridiplantae, Streptophyta, Magnoliopsida, Malvales, Malvaceae. The transcript is spliced from 2 exons. The record is from RefSeq and is a predicted model, not a curated record.
UUACUAUUUAAAAAAGUUGAUAUCUUUAAAUAUUUUAUGGUUCUUGUCGAGAUGAAAAUAAAAGUUGAUCGCAGAAGGUAACGGACAACCAAAACCCUCAAGAUGAUCUCCAGAGCACCCAACAUGACUAAUCCAAGGAAAGCUCACCAAGACAAGCCUUGGGCAAGGCCCAAGGCAAGCCCCAAACGGAAGACCCUCGAAGACCUGGUUCCCACUUGCAAGACCACUUGACCAAGGUUCAAUGCAUCUCAGAAAGAUACCUCAACACCAAGCUAAUGAUGAAACGUCACAUGGCACCAAGUUACUUCACCAUUGGCUAUAAAUGGAAGGAUUCACUGCCAUUCACAGAAAGACCAGUCAUAUACUUCACUACAUAGCAAUUGAAAAGCAUCUUCUACCCCUCUUUUUCAAAACUUCUUCUUUUCUUGCAUUAAGUUAUACCUGAUCAUUGAGUUGAGUUGGAGUAUGCCUCGGAAGGAAGUCCUCUGGUGCCCGCUAACAUUAUCCCUUUCUCUACAGACGUCCUUGUAAGUCUCCAUAGUCCGAGAUCAACCUGAUCAUCUCCCGAGAGGCUAACUUAGUCGAUCCGCUACGCUGGGAGAAGCCCACGUUGACAUCAUCUUUAGAAGCCAAGUUAGUUGAUCCUCUAUGCUGGGAAAAGUCUAGUCACGUUGAGAUAAUCUCCAUAGGCUAGCUUAGCAGAUUUGCUACCCCAAGGGAAGCCUAGCCAUGUUGAGAUCAUUUCUAGAGGACAAGUUAGUUGAUUUGCUAUGUCGGGCAUGGUUUUCAAGAUCAAACUAUUGAUUGAAUCGAUUAAACCACUAAUUUCUUGUCCGCUUAUUCAGCUAAGUCACAUCAGAAUCAUCUCCAAGGCUAUCUCUGACGACUCGCUCCCUCAGGAAGGACCUUAGCCACAGCAAGAUCACCCAUCGAAUCAUCUUGAAGCUCUCCCAUAGCUCCUCAUCCCGUUUGUAACCAUCUCGAGAUCCUCUUAAAGUUCACACGUCGUCCUAACACCUCAUCUAGAAUCAUCUGGAACAUUGUCGCCAUCUAAGGUCAUCUUUGAAAACAUUUCGCCUUCGCUCACCAAUAACCCUUCACACUUGAGAAACAAUGCUCUCAUUGUUGUGGUCCGGGAACUUUUUCGGCCUCAACAGUUCUACAAAUGAAAUAUUUUGUUUGUAGUUAAUUUGUAAAUAAAUAAUAAUAAUUUUCAUGUCAUUUUUAAUUUAGUGUUAUCCAUCAAUCGAAAACUUAGUUGUAAAAUUAUCAAAA